ACUGCGAAUGGCUCAUUAAAUCAGUUAUCGUUUAUUUGAUAGUGCCCUUUACUACUUGGAUAACCGUGGUAAUUCUAGAGCUAAUACAUGCAUAAAGCCCCGACUUCUGAAGGGGUGUAUUUAUUAGAUAAAAAACCAAUGCCCCUCGGGGCUCUUUGGUGAAUCAUGAUAACGCAACGAAUCGCAUGGCCUUGCGCCGGCGAUGGUUCAUUCAAAUUUCUGCCCUAUCAACUUUCGAUUGUAGUUUAGUGGACUACAAUGGUUUCAACGGGUAACGGGGAAUUAGGGUUCGACUCCGGAGAGGGAGCCUGAGAAACGGCUACCACAUCCAAGGAAGGCAGCAGGCGCGCAAAUUACCCAAUCCCGACACGGGGAGGUAGUGACAAUAAAUACUGAUACAGGGCUCUUUUGGGUCUUGUAAUUGGAAUGAGUACAAUCUAAAUCCCUUAACGAGGAACAAUUGGAGGGCAAGUCUGGUGCCAGCAGCCGCGGUAAUUCCAGCUCCAAUAGCGUAUAUUAAAGUUGUUGCAGUUAAAAAGCUCGUAGUUGAACCUUGGGCCUGGCCGGCCGGUCCGCCUCACCGCGUGCACUGGUUCGGCCGGGUCUUUCUUUCUGCGGAGCCGCAUGCCCUUUAUUGGGUGUGUUGGGGAAGCAGGACUUUUACUUUGAAAAAAUUAGAGUGUUCAAAGCAGGCCUUUGCUCGAAUACAUUAGCAUGGAAUAAUAGAAUAGGACGGCCCUCCUAUUUUGUUGGUUUCUAGGGGAGCCGUAAUGAUUAAUAGGGACAGUUGGGGGCAUCCGUAUUGCGCUGUCAGAGGUGAAAUUCUUGGAUUUGCGCAAGACGAACUACUGCGAAAGCAUUUGCCAAAGAUGUUUUCAUUAAUCAG
Molecule: ribosomal RNA, 886 nt
Filed under: Yunnanomyces pandanicola
Lineage: Eukaryota; Fungi; Ascomycota; Dothideomycetes; Venturiales; Sympoventuriaceae
Description: SSU rRNA
Rfam family: Eukaryotic small subunit ribosomal RNA
Source: RNAcentral